GCUUGCACCUUUCAAGCGAGUGGCGAACGGGUGAGUAACACGUGGAUAACCUGCCUCAAGGCUGGGGAUAACAUUUGGAAACAGAUGCUAAUACCGAAUAAAACUUAGUAUCGCAUGAUAUCAAGUUAAAAGGCGCUACGGCGUCACCUAGAGAUGGAUCCGCGGUGCAUUAGUUAGUUGGUGGGGUAAAGGCUUACCAAGACGAUGAUGCAUAGCCGAGUUGAGAGACUGAUCGGCCACAUUGGGACUGAGACACGGCCCAAACUCCUACGGGAGGCUGCAGUAGGGAAUCUUCCACAAUGGGCGCAAGCCUGAUGGAGCAACGCCGCGUGUGUGAUGAAGGCUUUCGGGUCGUAAAGCACUGUUGUAUGGGAAGAAAUGCUAAAAUAGGGAAUGAUUUUAGUUUGACGGUACCAUACCAGAAAGGGACGGCUAAAUACGUGCCAGCAGCCGCGGUAAUACGUAUGUCCCGAGCGUUAUCCGGAUUUAUUGGGCGUAAAGCGAGCGCAGACGGUUGAUUAAGUCUGAUGUGAAAGCCCGGAGCUCAACUCCGGAAUGGCAUUGGAAACUGGUUAACUUGAGUGUUGUAGAGGUAAGUGGA
Molecule: ribosomal RNA, 601 nt
Filed under: Leuconostoc sp.
Lineage: Bacteria; Bacillati; Bacillota; Bacilli; Lactobacillales; Lactobacillaceae
Description: bacterial SSU rRNA
Rfam family: Bacterial small subunit ribosomal RNA
Source: RNAcentral